Molecule: ribosomal RNA, 451 nt
Filed under: uncultured bacterium
Lineage: Bacteria
Description: partial 16S ribosomal RNA
Rfam family: Bacterial small subunit ribosomal RNA
Source: RNAcentral
GAUGAACGCUGGCGGCGUGCCCAACACAUGCAAGUCGAGCGGCAGCGCGGGGUGCUUGCACCCUGUCGGCGAGCGGCGGACGGCUGAGUAACGCGUGGGAACGUGCCCCAAAGUGAGGAAUAACUGCCCGAAAGGGUAGCUAAUACCGCAUAUUAUCUUCGGAUCAAAGGAUUUAUCCGCUUUGGGAGCGGCUCGCGUCGGAUUAGGUAGUUGGUGAGGUAAUGGCUCACCAAGCCGACGAUCCGUAGCUGGUCUGAGAGGAUGACCAGCCAGACUGGAACUGAGACACGGUCCAGACUCCUACGGGAGGCAGCAGUGAGGAAUCUUCCACAAUGGGCGAAAGCCUGAUGGAGCAACGCCGCGUGCAGGACGAAGGCCUUCGGGUUGUAAACUGCUUUUAUAAGUGAGGAAUAUGACGGUAACUUAUGAAUAAGGAUCGGCUAACUACGUG